Molecule: ribosomal RNA, 470 nt
Filed under: uncultured bacterium
Lineage: Bacteria
Description: bacterial SSU rRNA
Rfam family: Bacterial small subunit ribosomal RNA
Source: RNAcentral
UCACCUACGGGAGGCAGCAGUGGGGAAUUUUGGACAAUGGGGGCAACCCUGAUCCAGCCAUGCCGCGUGCGGGAAGAAGGCCUUCGGGUUGUAAACCGCUUUUAGCCGGGAAGAAAAGGCGCUCUCUAAUACGGGGCGUUCUUGACGGUACCGGCGGAAUAAGCACCGGCUAACUACGUGCCAGCAGCCGCGGUAAUACGUAGGGUGCGAGCGUUAAUCGGAAUUACUGGGCGUAAAGCGUGCGCAGGCGGGUCGUUAAGUCAGAUGUGAAAGCCCCGGGCUCAACCUGGGAACUGCAUUUGAAACUGGCGGGCUUGAGUGCGGCAGAGGGGGGUGGAAUUCCGCGUGUAGCAGUGAAAUGCGUAGAGAUGCGGAGGAACACCGAUGGCGAAGGCAGCCCCCUGGGCCGACACUGACGCUCAGGCACGAAAGCGUGGGGAGCAAACAGGAUUAGAUACCCCGGUAGUCGC